AUGCUCACUUCAAUAGAACAUGUACUAGAAUUCAAAACAACAUGGAGAAGAUUAGUCUGGCCCCUGUGCAAGAAUGACAUGCACAUUUGGAAACUGCUCGAUAUUUUU
Molecule: small nuclear RNA, 108 nt
Organism: Dipodomys ordii (Ord's kangaroo rat)
Lineage: Eukaryota; Metazoa; Chordata; Mammalia; Rodentia; Heteromyidae
Source: Ensembl